Small nucleolar RNA from Stegostoma tigrinum, 76 nucleotides. RefSeq annotates it as small nucleolar RNA SNORD34. The transcript has a single exon. NCBI's taxonomy places the organism in Eukaryota, Metazoa, Chordata, Chondrichthyes, Orectolobiformes, Stegostomatidae. The record is from RefSeq and is a predicted model, not a curated record.
UUCUGUCGCUGAUGAAUUGUUAUUACCUACAUUGUUUGAUAUUUUAAAUGAGAACAAACUUCAUACUGAGAUAGAA